AAAAAAGCAGCGAAAAAUGAGAGAAUGCAUAUCGAUCCACAUUGGUCAGGCCGGUAUUCAGGUCGAAAAUGCAUGCUUGGAACUUUACUGCCUUGAGCAUGGCAUUUAGCCUGAUGACCAUAUGCCAGGCGACAAGACAGUUGGAGUAGGUGAUGAUGCAUUCAACACCUUCUUUAGUGAAACUGGAGCUGAAAAGCAUGUUCCCGGUGUUGUCUUUGUGGAUCUUGAGCCUACUGUCAUUGAUAAAGUCAGGACAUGAACAUAUAGGCAACUCUUUUACCCUGAUCAGCUCAUCAGUGGAAAAGAAGAUGCAGCCAAAAACUUUGCCCGUGGACAUUAUACAAUUGAGAAGGAGAUAGGUGAUCUCUGCUUGGAUCGUAUUAGGAAGCUACGGUUGUACUGGUCUUCAAGGUCUCCUGGUUUUCAAUGAUUUUGGUGGUGGAACUGGUUCAGGUCUUGGGUCACUUCUGCUGGAGCAUCUCUCUAUCGACUAUGGAAAGAAAUCAAAACUUGGUUUCACCUUUUAUCCAUCACCACAGGUCUCUACCUCUGUGGUGGAACCUUACAACAGUGUCCUGUCGACCCACUCCCUUCUUAAGCACACUGAUGUUGCAAUUCUUCUUGACAAUGAGCUAGGCCAUUUUUGUGACAUUUGCAAGCACUCAUUGGACAUUGAGCGCCCGACAUACACCAGUAUUAACCGUCUUAUUUCACAGGUUAUCUCUUCACUUACUGCUUCUUUGAGGUUUGAUGAAGCCCUAAUGUUUAUGUCAAUGAAUUCCAGACCAACCUUGUUCCCUACCCCAGGAUUCAUUUUAUGCUUUCUCAUCCGAUGCUUCUGUCAUUUCAACCGAGAAGGCCUACCAUGAGCAGUUGUCACUUGCAGAGAUCACCAACAGUGCUUUUGAGCCAUCUUCCAUGAUGGUCAAGUGUGAUCCUCACCACGGGAAGUACAUGGCUUGCUGCCUUAAGUUCCGUGGUGAUAUUGUGACAAAGGAUGUGAAUAUUGUUGUGGCUACUAAGCGCACCAUCCAAUUUGUUGACUGGUGCCCUACUGGAUUCAAGUGUGGUAUCAACUAUCAGCCAACAUGUUCAAGGUGCAAAGGUAUGUAUGUAUGAUUUCCAACUCAACCAAUGUUGCUGAGGUCUUCUCACGCAUUGAGCACAAAUUUGAUAUGAUGUAUGCCAAGCGUUCUUUUGUGCACUGGUAUGUUGGUGAGGGUAUGGAGGAAGGUGAGUUCAGUGAAGCACGUGAAGAUCUAGCAGCUUUGGAAAAGGAUUACAGGAGGUUUGGUGCUGAACUGGAAGAAGGAGGCGAUGAUGAUCACGAGGAAUACUAAAACCCCCACACAAAUUUAUACAA
Solanum pennellii is the source of this 1363-nucleotide RNA transcript. It is a transcript of the gene named tubulin alpha chain-like, with no coding region annotated. The record is from RefSeq and is a predicted model, not a curated record. Lineage: Eukaryota; Viridiplantae; Streptophyta; Magnoliopsida; Solanales; Solanaceae. The transcript has 2 exons.